Vigna umbellata (rice bean) is the source of this 289-nucleotide non-coding RNA. The record is from RefSeq and is a predicted model, not a curated record. NCBI's taxonomy places the organism in Eukaryota, Viridiplantae, Streptophyta, Magnoliopsida, Fabales, Fabaceae.
AAAGCUUUUUGAAUUGCUAUCUGCAGGGUUCUUUCUCCUUAAAUUCACUCGUUCGUCAAUAUUUGUCCGACAAAAAUCCAGAAGAAAUUCUCACUGCAGUGGAAUCCUUGCUUAGCAAAGUCAUGGAGGAAUGUGAACAUCACAUGCAAAUUCGAUGUAAAAUGUAUAAAACAACUAGGGAAGAUACAGCACCGUGUGAAACUGAAUGUUCAAUUUCAGAAGCUGCUUCUAUUAAUGAAACGGUAAAAUUCAGAUUCAUAAAUGCUUUCGUCUUACAAGUGUGCAAAUA